GGGUGACUGCGUACCUUUUGUAUAAUGGGUCAGCGACUUAUAUUCUGUAGCAAGGUUAACCGUAUAGGGGAGCCGCAGGGAAACCGAGUCUUAACUGGGCGUUAAGUUGCAGGGUAUAGACCCGAAACCCGGUGAUCUAGCCAUGGGCAGGUUGAAGGUUGGGUAACACUAACUGGAGGACCGAACCGACUAAUGUUGAAAAAUUAGCGGAUGACUUGUGGCUGGGGGUGAAAGGCCAAUCAAACCGGGAGAUAGCUGGUUCUCCCCGAAAGCUAUUUAGGUAGCGCCUCGUGAAUUCAUCUUCGGGGGUAGAGCACUGUUUCGGCUAGGGGGUCAUCCCGACUUACCAACCCGAUGCAAACUACGAAUACCGAAGAAUGUUAUCACGGGAGACACACGGCGGGUGCUAACGUCCGUCGUGAAGAGGGAAACAACCCAGACCGCCAGCUAAGGUCCCAAAGUCAUGGUUAAGUGGGAAACGAUGUGGGAAGGCCCAGACAGCCAGGAUGUUGGCUUAGAAGCAGCCAUCAUUUAAAGAAAGCGUAAUAGCUCACUGGUCGAGUCGGCCUGCGCGGAAGAUGUAACGGGGCUAAACCAUGCACCGAAGCUGCGGCAGCGACACUAUGUGUUGUUGGGUAGGGGAGCGUUCUGUAAGCCGUUGAAGGUGGCCUGUGAGGGUUGCUGGAGGUAUCAGAAGUGCGAAUGCUGACAUAAGUAACGAUAAUGCGGGUGAAAAACCCGCACGCCGGAAGACCAAGGGUUCCUGUCCAACGUUAAUCGGGGCAGGGUGAGUCGACCCCUAAGGCGAGGCCGAAAGGCGUAGUCGAUGGGAAACAGGUUAAUAUUCCUGUACUCGGUGUUACUGCGAAGGGGGGACGGAGAAGGCUAUGUUGGCCGGGCGACGGUUGUCCCGGUUUAAGCAUGUAGGCGGAUGUUCCAGGUAAAUCCGGAACGUUACUAACGCUGAGGUGUGAUGACGAGGCACUACGGUGCUGAAGUGACAAAUGCCCUGCUUCCAGGAAAAGCCUCUAAGCAUCAGGUAACAUCAAAUCGUACCCCAAACCGACACAGGUGGUCAGGUAGAGAAUACCAAGGCGCUUGAGAGAACUCGGGUGAAGGAACUAGGCAAAAUGGUGCCGUAACUUCGGGAGAAGGCACGCUGAUGGUA
RNAcentral lists this ribosomal RNA (1168 nucleotides) under Klebsiella michiganensis. RNAcentral describes it as "partial 23S ribosomal RNA". It matches the Rfam family "Bacterial large subunit ribosomal RNA", at positions 591 to 1759 of the family's 2925-position model. Lineage: Bacteria; Pseudomonadati; Pseudomonadota; Gammaproteobacteria; Enterobacterales; Enterobacteriaceae. The record is from RNAcentral.